Molecule: ribosomal RNA, 468 nt
Filed under: uncultured bacterium
Lineage: Bacteria
Description: partial 16S ribosomal RNA
Rfam family: Bacterial small subunit ribosomal RNA
Source: RNAcentral
GACGACCGCUGGCGGCGUGCUUAACACAUGCAAGUCGAACGGAAAGGCCCUGCUUUUGUGGGGUGCUCGCGUGGCGAACGGGUGAGUAACACGUGAGUAACCUGCCCUUGACUUUGGGAUAACUUCAGGAAACUGGUGCUAAUACCGGAUAGGAGCUCCUGCUGCAUGGUGGGGGUUGGAAAGUUUCGGCGGUUGGGGAUGGACUCGCGGCUUAUCAGCUUGUUGGUGGGGUAGUGGCUUACCAAGGCUUUGACGGGUAGCCGGCCUGAGAGGGUGACCGGCCACAUUGGGACUGAGAUACGGCCCAGACUCCUACGGGAGGAAGCAGUGGGGAAUAUUGCACAAUGGGCGGAAGCCGGAUGCAGCAACGCCGCGGGGGGGAUGACGGCCUUCGGGUGGUAAACCGCUUUCGCCUGUGACGAAGCGUGAGUGACGGUAAUGGGUAAAGAAGCACCGGCUAACUACGUG